This is a long non-coding RNA of Carlito syrichta (Philippine tarsier), 1791 nucleotides long. RefSeq lists it as uncharacterized. The record is from RefSeq and is a predicted model, not a curated record. NCBI's taxonomy places the organism in Eukaryota, Metazoa, Chordata, Mammalia, Primates, Tarsiidae. The transcript has 3 exons.
UUUUAUGCUCUUGUGUGUGUGUGAUUUGACAGCUUCUUGGAGACUACAGCCUAUUUCUUCAUGAAACCAAAACUUGGAGAGAAGGAGGUGUCCCCAAAUGUUUUCUUCAGUAUCUGGCAUGAAUUCAGCUCUGAUUUUAAAGACUUUUGGAAGAAAGAGAACAAACUUAUUCUACAAGAGAGAGUAAAAGAAGCCGAAGAGGUGUGUAGGCAGAAAAAGGGAAAAUCACUUUACAAAAUAAAACCAAGACACGACUCUGGAAUUAAAGCGAAGAUAAGCAUGAAAACCUGAACAACGAAAAGCAGAAUGAAAAUGAGUCAUUUCAAUGACUUUCACAGAAUUCAGCUGACCUGAGGGUGGGAAGGAAACUACAUCGUUCUGAUCAUCUUUCUUCUUGACCUCUUACAUAACCUUUGUGUUUUCUAGAGAGUUCACUAAUUACUGAAUUUUACUGUAUAUUCGUGUAAUGCAAAAUCACUAGACCAGUGGAGAAUCUGACACCUUUUCUUUUUGUAAAAGUUUAUGGUAUUAUACCAAUAGACCAAAACAGCAUGUAAAAGAGGCAGUAUCUGCACUAAUUCUGAACAUGCUAAACAUUAACUUAAAAUGUACUUUUAUGAGAAUAUUCCUUGUCACCACAAAAGCACUUUCCUUUCUACUGACAACCAGUACUCCACAUCACAGCAGUUAGAUAUAUGGAUAAAAUGUUAUUUCUAGUUAAUUGUUCGUAUCAAUUUCAAGUCUACAUGUACAUUUUCUAUUUCACAAUUUAAGUACCCUUUAUAUAUCAUAAUCAGUGCUUUCCCAACUCUUGGGUGGCUCUCCAUAACUAUAUAUUUGUGAAAAAAAGAUUUUUUUUUUUUUUACUCAAGUCAGAUGAUGAGUAGAAAGUAUGGUAGAAGAAAAACUCUUCCCUAUUUUAUUACAGGCAAGAAGACAAGUUUUAAGUUUAAUGAGUGCUUUUGUCCUUUGAGACUUAUAGAAAAGUUCAUCUGCAACAGAAGUAAAUUAAAGAUGUGCCUCCCUAUCACUUUCCCAUCUCACGUCACAAAGAAAAUUUCACUCAAUAUUUUGAAGGAAUUUAAAUGAACAAUGCUCAUAAAAUUGCCAAACCUGACUAAUUAUUAACAGAAAAACAAACAAAAACACAGUAAGUUUUUGACUGGAUUGGCAUCUCCCUAGAACCUGUUGAGUAAACAUACCUACCUGAGUAUUUUGACGUGAUUGGGGUUAUCUUUCUGUGUUCCGGUAGGUGAUUAAAACUGGGAAAUGGGAAUGUUGUGGUUUAUUAUCUAAAGGAGUCUAGGAAAAGGUUUGAUUUGAUUUUACUUUCCCAUUCUUUCCAAGAAUACUUUAAAGUCAGUUCAUAAUGCAUUGUGGUAAUUUUGUCUAACAUUAAUAGUUGUUUUUUUAAUUGCUUUUAAAGAUAUUUGUUGGGAGUUAAUGGUUGUGGAUAAAGGGGAGAAUUUGUUGCUAUUGCAAAGCAAUUGUGAAAAACAACUUAAAAAGAAAAACAAUAUUCUAAAUCAUAACUCUGUUUGUAUUUAUGUAAAGUAUAGUCUAUUACCUUUUAGUUUGUAGUUUAAGUGCAAAGAAAUAGUAGUGGAUUUUUUCUGUUGUUGUUUUGUAGUCUUCCUCUUCCCUCAGUCCCUUCAAAGUGUAUAUUACCAUUCUCCAAUGAAAUAAUAGGGCAUUUAACAAAGAUCGCUAUGUGCAAUACUGUAUUUAGUGUUUCUAUUUCAAUUUUUCUAGGAUGUUAAUUUAUAUGAAAAUAAAAUGAAUAAUAAAAGA